RNAcentral lists this long non-coding RNA (970 nucleotides) under Homo sapiens (human). RNAcentral describes it as "non-protein coding lnc-LY6H-1:1". Lineage: Eukaryota; Metazoa; Chordata; Mammalia; Primates; Hominidae. The record is from RNAcentral.
GGGGCAUGAGAGUUUAUUGUCUCCAAGAGGGUGAAGGUCGUGGUCCCAAUGCACAGGUGGGGGCACCCACAGUGUUAUCCUUCCUGGGUUUCCCUUGGGCAGAGGGGGCUGGAAAUGGGAAGGCAGAGUGGGAGCCCCAGCUGUGGCCGCACCCAGGUUCUUCUGCCCCUCGAAGGGUCCUGGACAGCAUUCAGGGCAAGGGGCCUCAUGCAAGGGGCCAUCGCCCACCAGAGACACUGUCUUUCCCACCACCAACACCAGAGGCACCGUCCUUCCCCAUCACCCAACACCGGAGGCACCAUCCUUCCCCAUUGCCCAUCAGAGGCACCAUCCUUCCCAUCACCCACACUGGAGGCACCAUUCUUCCCGUCACCCACACCGGAGGUACCGUCCUUCCCAUCACCCACACCGGAGGCACCGUCCUUCCCAUCACCCACACCAGAGGCACCGUCCUUCCCAUCACCCACAUCAGAGGCACCGUCCUUCCCAUCACCCACAUCAGAGGCACUGUCCUUCCCCAGGAGGAGCAGUUGCUGAAUCCUUGGGGUUCUCCAGCAAAGGGGCCCCCGGUGGGGAGGAGUGAGGUGGCUAGAUCCGGGAUGGAGGCAAUGGCACCCUCCCCACCACCUCAGAGAGGGAGGGUCCCCCCCCAGUGUCCUGGAAGGGGCGGAGGCAGGAUGGCAGUUGGAGGCAGGAGACGGGAUGGGCCAGCAGGGCCAGGAGGGGGCGUAAAGGGAGGGCCCUCACAACAGGGCCCUGAGGAGGCUGAGGCCCACCUGGAGCAGGAGCCCCCCUCGCAGGGCCCAGCGCCCCUCCUGUGGGGUCAGUGCCCUGUUGCAGAGAGCCCAGGAACAGCAGCGCCUGGUGAUCACGCCUUGCACCAUGGGGGCCGGCGACCAUUCGAACUUCAUGUUGUCGUUGGGACAUCUGGGAGCACAGCGUUUGCUGAGCAGGACGCGUACACUCCAUU